GCAAGAGGUCCGCUCGAACCGCCGGCAGGGGCGGGGGACCCAAAUCUGGGCGCUCAGGCGCCCUUGGGGUGAAGCCCCGUCGUGGAGCGAUCCACGGCGAGGCCGGGUGUUCUCCCACCCGAACCCGACAGCUGACCUCGUAGGCGACAAGGAGAGGCACG
Molecule: small RNA, 161 nt
Filed under: Cellulomonas gilvus
Lineage: Bacteria; Bacillati; Actinomycetota; Actinomycetes; Micrococcales; Cellulomonadaceae
Also listed under: 1 other name
Description: c-di-AMP sequence
Rfam family: c-di-AMP riboswitch aptamer (ydaO/yuaA leader)
About the family: This family represents a conserved RNA structure found upstream of the ydaO and yuaA genes in Bacillus subtilis and related genes in other bacteria.
Source: RNAcentral